GCUCCCUUUUUGUGUUUCCUCCAGAAGAGGACAGUCCAGUUUAUCUGCCCAGGAUUCCUCUUGGAAAGGAAUGCCAACUCGCAUUUUGCAUUAAGAAAUGGGAAAACCUUCCCGUCGGUCCUGGCGUAGCAC
Long non-coding RNA from Myotis davidii, 132 nucleotides. RefSeq lists it as uncharacterized. The record is from RefSeq and is a predicted model, not a curated record. The transcript has 3 exons. NCBI's taxonomy places the organism in Eukaryota, Metazoa, Chordata, Mammalia, Chiroptera, Vespertilionidae.